RNAcentral lists this ribosomal RNA (475 nucleotides) under uncultured bacterium. Its description in RNAcentral is "partial 16S ribosomal RNA". It matches the Rfam family "Bacterial small subunit ribosomal RNA", at positions 28 to 523 of the family's 1533-position model. The record is from RNAcentral.
GGUGAACGCUGGCGGCGUGCUUAAGACAUGCAAGUCGAACGCAGUCUUCGGACUGAGUGGCGCACGGGUGAGUAACACGUAACUGGCCUACCCCCAAGUCGCGGAUAACUGGCCGAAAAGUCAGCUAAUACGUGAUGUUAUGUCCCCUUUCUGGGGGGCCAUUAAAGUUUUACUGCUUGGGGAUGGGGUUGCGUUCGAACAGCUAGUUGGGGGGGUAAAGGCCCACCAAGGCAACGACGGAUAGCCGGCCUGAGAGGGUGGCCGGCCACAGGGGCACUGAGACACGGGUCCCACUCCUACGGGAGGCAGCAGUUAGGAAUCUUCCACAAUGGGCGAAGGCCUGAUGGAGCGACGCCGCGUGAGGGAUGAAGGUUCUCGGAUCGUAAACCUCUGAAUCAGGGACGAAAGACGCGUAAGCGGGAUGACGGUACCUGAGUAAUAGCACCGGCUAACUCCGUGCCAGCCGCCGCAGUAA